Long non-coding RNA from Apis laboriosa (Himalayan honeybee), 963 nucleotides. RefSeq lists it as uncharacterized. NCBI's taxonomy places the organism in Eukaryota, Metazoa, Arthropoda, Insecta, Hymenoptera, Apidae. The transcript has 4 exons. The record is from RefSeq and is a predicted model, not a curated record.
AAUUUAUAUUAUGAAUUCAAUAUUAAUUAUUUAUCUAUUUUAUAUUAUUAAAAUACUAAGGUGUAAAAAAAUGUUUGUGUUGUGUGUAGAAUAUAUUUAUAGAAUACCCGCACAUAACAUAAAUUCGAAAUGCAAACCUGUGGUGAUAUCUGUUUAACACGUUGUUAUAUUAUAGACUGUGCGUCAAGUUAAAGAUAAAAACGAAUGCAUCCAAAAUAAAGAGAAAUUUUUUUUCUCGAUUUUGAACAUCGUUAAUCAAUGCACGAAAAUUUACAUCUUCUGUUUAACAUCGUUUUCACAUAAUUGAUACUUAUGCAGAUCAUCCAUACAUUGUGAACGAUGAAUGGCACGCAUCAUAUCUUCUGGUUUCCAAAGAUAAAGAAAAAAAACUCGAAAGAAGAACGUUUUGUGAACAGCUUCUCAAGGAGAUUACUUUGAACGUGACCACAAUGAUACUCUGGAAUGAAAUAAAAUGGUCUCUCUCGUUUUCCAUAUAUAUAUAAACGAAGAAAAUUUUCAAGGAAAGUCAAAACAAAUUAUUUCGAUGUUAAAAAUCUAUAUCGGCAAUAUGACAUGGAUAAAAGAAAAAGGAAUAAGAAAUACUUAGAAAUAUAGCUGUUACCAACAAGAAUUCGAAAGUGUCGCUAAGCAUCUUUUUAUUGACAAUUGCAUAAUAGGAAAUAUGGUAACAAAUGGAAUCUCAAUACUUCCGUAUCGUAAUCGAACAAUUUCUCUUAUUGAUUUAUUGAUGAAAAUAAAUAAAAACGUCUAAUCUUUUUUAUUUUAAAAAAAAAUAAUUUAUAUCAAAUUACAUCAGUGUUUUUAAUCUAUGGACCACAGAAAUGCAAAUUUUUCAUCGAUAUUUUCAUAUUUUCGUAUUCUCGUAUUUUUUACUAGUUGCAUUCAUUCUAUCGUUGAUGUUGAAAAUAAUUAUUCAAAAAUGUCAAAACGUAUGUGAUAAUC